Gopherus flavomarginatus (Mexican gopher tortoise) is the source of this 983-nucleotide long non-coding RNA. RefSeq lists it as uncharacterized. The transcript has 4 exons. NCBI's taxonomy places the organism in Eukaryota, Metazoa, Chordata, Testudines, Testudinidae. The record is from RefSeq and is a predicted model, not a curated record.
UUUCUAGCUUAUGUUCUCAGAAAGAUAAGCAAGAAGAAAUAGGGCAUGGAAAGUUCCUGAGUGGAGUCAUAAUAGGAACUAAAAGUCUUAAAUCUGAAGCAAGCAGAGGAAAGCCCCAAAAUCUGCUACCACUCAGGAGAGGAGUGACAAUAUUAUGGACUAACAGCACCCUGCUAAUGACCAGACAUUGCUUGUUGAAGACACCGCCCCCAAGUGACUGAAACGCUCAUCAAAGGGGAGAGCCUGGAUGAAAGUGUUUUAGGCUGUCCACAUGAAUUUGCCAAACCACUGCAUCACUCAGACAUACACCUUUCACAUAUUGCAGCUCUUCACGGUCAUGUGGAACUUCCAGUUUUAAAAUGUGAAAGCUGAGAUUCUGAUGUAAUCACCUGACUCCAGGAGCUGGACCCUAUGCUGGAGCUGUAGUGCCUCUGGCCUAAUCCAUCUGUGCAGCCCCUCAAGUCUCGUUGGAUUUGGAAGGACCAGUGGCCCUCCCCAUUAGAAAAUAGAAGAUGUUGGAAGCAGUCCAGUUUCAAUACUCUUCAGGAUGAAUACCAAAAGCAGUGGGAGGGGAUAAGGCUGUUGGCUCUUCCCUGAAAGAUGACAAUAGGAAGUAUACAGUCUUGAUCUUGGUGAGCAGUGGCAGAGAGAGGAAGAAGAGAGAGAUGGGGGACUUUGCAAAGAAAGGUGCGAGAUGCUCCACUGGAGAUGUGUUUAAGAAAUUCACACUACUGGAAUAGCAGGGUUCAGCUUGUAAAUGCUGCCACCAAUCACACCCUGCAAAGAUCACACCGCUCUACGUCUGAAUCCUAUAGGUUGUAGCUCUAACUGCUUAAUACCAAUUCUUCCUUUUCAAAUGUAUUGAUAACUCCCAUGGUAAUGGUGCAAUUACCACGUCAGCUGUAAUGCUGUUAAUUGUUGUUGACCAAAGCUUGUAAAUUAAAAAGCUUUGAGUUCUACAGCUUGUAUCAGUAGCAAUAUAA